CAUCUUUGGUGUGUCUUGUCGUGUAAUAUCUUUCCCAAGAGCUAAUUGUCUGCUACACUGCCUCUUCCAGUAAUUUUUGAUCGCUCGCGAGAAAGUGGGUUUGGAAAAUUCGUUGAAAAUGCCAGUUGGUCCGCUGAGAGCUUUUGGAAGGAAACACAUCGAAUUGUUAAGUGCAUGGACACCCACGGCAGCGACGUUUGGCGCGACAGCCGGUGCUGCUCUAGUGUAUUUCACCGACUGGAAAUUAGUUCUUCAGUAUGUUCCUUACAUUAACGGGAAAUUCAAAAGUGAAGAGUGAUAUAGCGUGAAUGUUCUCCGUAGUCAUUAUGAACCCUACCAUCUCCAUGUAAUAUAUUAUUAAUGCGUAUUAUAUACGACAUCCUAUGUACAAAAUGUAACUCUACAAUGAACAGCGAACGACAUAGAAAAUAAAUUAUACUGCUGCACCGAAGAGACUGCAUCAGAUUUGUGUUAAAAAUGAACUUUAGAUUGUGAAUCUGAUUAAAGUACUAUAUUCAGA
Schistocerca cancellata (South American locust) is the source of this 520-nucleotide long non-coding RNA. RefSeq lists it as uncharacterized. The record is from RefSeq and is a predicted model, not a curated record. The transcript is spliced from 2 exons. NCBI's taxonomy places the organism in Eukaryota, Metazoa, Arthropoda, Insecta, Orthoptera, Acrididae.